This 382-nucleotide ribosomal RNA is filed under the name uncultured eukaryote. Its description in RNAcentral is "partial 18S ribosomal RNA". It matches the Rfam family "Eukaryotic small subunit ribosomal RNA", at positions 592 to 976 of the family's 1831-position model. The record is from RNAcentral.
CAAUAGCGUAUAUUAAAGUUGUUGCAGUUAAAAAGCUCGUAGUUGGAUUUCUGGUGGGAGCGAUCGGUCUGGCGCUUAGCGCGAGUACUUGCAUCGUCUCCGGCCAUCCUUGGGGAGAGUCUGUCUGGCAUUAGGUUGUCGGGCAGAGGAUCCUCAUCGUUUACUGUGAAAAAAUUAGAGUGUUCAAAGCAGGCUUAUGCCGUUGAAUAUAUAGCAUGGAAUAAUAAGAUAGGACUUUGGUACUAUUUUGUUGGUUUGCGCACCAAAGUAAUGAUUAAUAGGGACAGUUGGGGGUAUUCGUAUUCCGUUGUCAGAGGUGAAAUUCUUGGAUUUACGGAAGACGAACUACUGCGAAAGCAUUUACCAAGGAUGUUUUCAUUAA